Molecule: long non-coding RNA, 202 nt
Filed under: Carica papaya (papaya)
Lineage: Eukaryota; Viridiplantae; Streptophyta; Magnoliopsida; Brassicales; Caricaceae
Description: long non-coding RNA (CPAP_LNC000907)
Source: RNAcentral
CCUUUCCCCCAAUUUCUAAUUGUUAGUAGUCCCAUUAUUUCGUAUUCCCUACCUAUUAUAGGGUAUAAGUAAGCAAUCUUCAAAAACCUCUAGCGUCCAUACUUUUGUUUUAGAUGUUAAUGUUUCUCUUUUAUAACAUCUUUAUCUUUUUUUUCUCAAAUAACUCCCUUAAUAUUUCAAACUCGUCUUCAAGUGUUCAACA